UAGCAUAUUCGUAUCUAUUUUUCCAGAACUAAUCAUCAAAAGUAUUUUACAUUUCUCAUCACUUAGGUUCUAUUCAGACACUAGUAUUUAAGUCGGCCAUGAUAUACCUCUGUGGGUAGGCUUCUUCCUGUUUGUGCCUUGUAGGCAUGGGGGCACCAGAUAUCAAUUUAUUUUACCAUGAUAUCAGAUCUUAUCUUCCUCUUUUGCAUUUAUUUUGUGUGUUUUCUAGCCAGUUAUUUUUCUUCCAGGAAUGAGAGCUCAACAUAACUGGAGCAUCUUGUUAGAGGCUAUUAAUAUACCAAUCUUAAAAGACAAUCUAGAGCAAAAUUGUUUUCACUCAUCAAGAUUCACAUUGCAUCUGCUUCCAACAGGUGUGGUGUUUUUCUCUUCCUCUUCCUGAAGGUGGGGAACCCACAGAUAAGAAGGGUCAACUGGACAUAAAAACUGAGAACUGCUAAGGAAUGACUAGGAAGUUUAUUGAGUCUUUCCCCCCCUCAUUUCCUCAAGAGAUACGAUACAAUGCUUCCCUGCUUCAGUUGGAUGUGGCUAAUGGAACAUCAGCAUAUGAAACACAAGCAGGUACUGAAAAUGGCUUGCUCUUUGGUGCUUUCCCUCUAACACUGAACUUGGAAAUCUGAGACCACCAUCUAUAGCGGCAUUGGCAAGUAGGCUAAAGAUAAGAGUUGAAAUGGAAAAGAUUCA
Molecule: long non-coding RNA, 702 nt
Filed under: Papio anubis (olive baboon)
Lineage: Eukaryota; Metazoa; Chordata; Mammalia; Primates; Cercopithecidae
Description: lncRNA (ENSPANG00000040848.1)
Source: RNAcentral